RNAcentral lists this ribosomal RNA (468 nucleotides) under uncultured bacterium. Its description in RNAcentral is "partial 16S ribosomal RNA". It matches the Rfam family "Bacterial small subunit ribosomal RNA", at positions 28 to 507 of the family's 1533-position model. The record is from RNAcentral.
GACGAACGCUGGCGGCGUGCUUAACACAUGCAAGUCGAACGGAAAGGCCCUGCUUUUGUUGGGUGCUCGAGUGGCGAACGGGUGAGUAACACGUGAGUAACCUGCCCUUGACUUUGGGAUAACUUCAGGAAACUGGGGCUAAUACCGGAUAGGAGCUCCUGCUGCAUAUUGUGGGUUGGAAAGUUUCGGCGGUUGGGGAUGGACUCGCGGCUUAUCAGCUUGUUGGUGGGGUAGUGGCUUACCAAGGCUUUGACGGGUAGCCGGCCUGAGAGGGUGACCGGCGACAUUGGGACUGAGAUACGGCCCAGACGCGUAAGGGAGGCAGCAGGGGGGAAUAUGGCACAAUGGGCGGAAGCCAGAUGUAGCAACGCCGCGUGCGGGAUGACGGCCUUCGGGUUGUAAACCGAUUUCGCCUGUGACGAAGCGUGAGUGACGGUAAUGGGUAAAGAAGCACCGGCUAACUACGUG